RNAcentral lists this ribosomal RNA (693 nucleotides) under Clostridium botulinum D/C. RNAcentral describes it as "partial 23S ribosomal RNA". It matches the Rfam family "Bacterial large subunit ribosomal RNA", at positions 714 to 1405 of the family's 2925-position model. Lineage: Bacteria; Bacillati; Bacillota; Clostridia; Eubacteriales; Clostridiaceae. The record is from RNAcentral.
CCCGAAACCGAGUGACCUAUCCAUGGCCAGGAUGAAGCGGAAGUAAAAUUCCGUGGAGGUCCGAACCACGUUGGUGUUGAAAACCCAUGGGAUGAGCUGUGGAUAGCGGAGAAAUUCCAAUCGAACUCGGAGAUAGCUGGUUCUCCUCGAAAUAGCUUUAGGGCUAGCGUCGGGUAAUUGAGUAGUGGAGGUAGAGCACUGAAUGGGCUAGGGGCUGACAACAGUUACUGAACCCUAUCAAACUCCGAAUGCCAUAUACUUGUACCCCGGCAGUCAGACUACGAAUGAUAAGAUCCGUGGUCAAAAGGGAAACAGCCCAGACCAUCAGCUAAGGUCCCAAAGUGUAAGUUAAGUGGGAAAGGAUGUGGGAUUUCUAAGACAACUAGGAUGUUGGCUUAGAAGCAGCCACUCAUUUAAAGAGUGCGUAAUAGCUCACUAGUCGAGAGAUCCUGCGCCGAAGAUGUAACGGGGCUCAAACUUACCACCGAAGCUAUGGAUGUGUACUUUGUACACGUGGUAGAGGAGCUUUCUGUACAGGUUGAAGUCAUACCGUAAGGAGUGGUGGACAGUACAGAAGUGAGAAUGCUGGCAUAAGUAGCGAAAAACAAGUGAGAAUCUUGUUGACCGAAUAUCUAAGGUUUCCUGGGGAAGGCUCGUCCUCCCAGGGUUAGUCGGGACCUAAGCCGAGGCCGA